GAUGAACGCUGGCGGCGUGCCUAAUACAUGCAAGUCGAGCGAACAGACGAGGAGCUUGCUCCUCUGACGUUAGCGGCGGACGGGUGAGUAACACGUGGAUAACCUACCUAUAAGACUGGGAUAACUUCGGGAAACCGGAGCUAAUACCGGAUAAUAUAUUGAACCGCAUGGUUCAAUAGUGAAGGACGGUUUUGCUGUCACUUAUAGAUGGAUCCGCGCCGCAUUAGCUAGUUGGUAAGGUAACGGCUUACCAGGGCAACGAUGCGUAGCCGACCUGAGAGGGUGAUCGGCCACACUGGAACUGAGACACGGUCCAGACUCCUACGGGAGGCAGCAGUAGGGAAUCUUCCGCAAUGGGCGAAAGCCUGACGGAGCAACGCCGCGUGAGUGAUGAAGGUCUUCGGAUCGUAAAACUCUGUUAUUAGGGAAGAACAAAUGUGUAAGUAACUAUGCACGUCUUGACGGUACCUAAUCAGAAAGCCACGGCUAACUACGUG
Molecule: ribosomal RNA, 497 nt
Filed under: uncultured bacterium
Lineage: Bacteria
Description: partial 16S ribosomal RNA
Rfam family: Bacterial small subunit ribosomal RNA
Source: RNAcentral